Molecule: non-coding RNA, 24 nt
Filed under: Arabidopsis thaliana (thale cress)
Lineage: Eukaryota; Viridiplantae; Streptophyta; Magnoliopsida; Brassicales; Brassicaceae
Source: RNAcentral
CUGAGCUUCAAGCUUUUAAGGGUU